AACGAACGCUGGCGGCAUGCCUAACACAUGCAAGUCGAACGAUGGUCUUCGGAUCAUAGUGGCGCACGGGUGCGUAACGCGUGGGAAUCUGCCCUUGGGUUCGGAAUAACAGUUGGAAACGACUGCUAAUACCGGAUGAUGUCGAUAAGACCAAAGAUUUAUCGCCCGAGGAUGAGCCCGCGUCGGAUUAGCUAGUUGGUGGGGUAAGGGCCUACCAAGGCGACGAUCCGUAGCUGGUCUGAGAGGAUGAUCAGCCACACUGGGACUGAGACACGGCCCAGACUCCUACGGGAGGCAGCAGUGGGGAAUAUUGGACAAUGGGCGCAAGCCUGAUCCAGCAAUGCCGCGUGAGUGAUGAAGGCCUUAGGGUUGUAAAGCUCUUUUACCCGGGAAGAUAAUGACUGUACCGGGAGAAUAAGCCCCGGCUAACUCCGUG
This 436-nucleotide ribosomal RNA is filed under the name uncultured bacterium. Its description in RNAcentral is "partial 16S ribosomal RNA". It matches the Rfam family "Bacterial small subunit ribosomal RNA", at positions 29 to 507 of the family's 1533-position model. The record is from RNAcentral.